UACGGAGGAUCCAAGCGUUAUCCGGAUUUAUUGGGUUUAAAGGGUGCGUAGGCGGCCUAUUAAGUCAGGGGUGAAAGACGGUAGCUUAACUAUCGCAGUGCCUUUGAUACUGAUAGGCUUGAAUACACUUGAGGUAGGCGGAAUGUGACAAGUAGCGGUGAAAUGCAUAGAUAUGUCACAGAACACCAAUUGCGAAGGCAGCUUACUAAAGUGAGAUUGACGCUGAGGCACGAAAGCGUGGGGAUCAAACAGG
This 253-nucleotide ribosomal RNA is filed under the name uncultured bacterium. RNAcentral's name for it is "partial 16S ribosomal RNA". It matches the Rfam family "Bacterial small subunit ribosomal RNA", at positions 524 to 776 of the family's 1533-position model. The record is from RNAcentral.